AUUGAACGCUGGCGGCAGGCCUAACACAUGCAAGUCGAGCGGAUGAAGGGAGCUUGCUCCUGGAUUCAGCGGCGGACGGGUGAGUAAUGCCUAGGAAUCUGCCUGGUAGUGGGGGAUAACGUCCGGAAACGGGCGCUAAUACCGCAUACGUCCUGAGGGAGAAAGUGGGGGAUCUUCGGACCUCACGCUAUCAGAUGAGCCUAGGUCGGAUUAGCUAGUUGGUGGGGUAAAGGCCUACCAAGGCGACGAUCCGUAACUGGUCUGAGAGGAUGAUCAGUCACACUGGAACUGAGACACGGUCCAGACUCCUACGGGAGGCAGCAGUGGGGAAUAUUGGACAAUGGGCGAAAGCCUGAUCCAGCCACGCCGCGUGUGUGAAGAAGGUCUUCGGAUUGUAAAGCACUUUAAGUUGGGAGGAAGGGCAGUAAGUUAAUACCUGGCUGUUUUGACGUUACCAACAGAAUAAGCACCGGCUAACUUCGU
Molecule: ribosomal RNA, 483 nt
Filed under: uncultured bacterium
Lineage: Bacteria
Description: partial 16S ribosomal RNA
Rfam family: Bacterial small subunit ribosomal RNA
Source: RNAcentral